CAGAGGUCCCAAGCGUUGUUCGGAUUUACUGGGCGUAAAGGGUGCGUAGGCGGUUGUUUAAGUCUGACGUGAAAUCUCCGGGCCUAACCCGGAAACUGCGUUGGAUACUAUUCAACUAGAGGAAUGGAGGGGAGACUGGGAUACUUGGUGUAGCAGUGAAAUGCGUAGAUAUCAAGUGGAACACCAGUGGCGAAGGCGAGUCUCUGGACAUUUCCUGACGCUGAGGCGCGAAAGCCAGGGGAGCAAACGGGAUUAGAUACCCCGGUAGUCCUGGCCCUAAACGGUGCGCGUUUGCAGUAAGUGGAAUCGACCCCACUUGUGGCGUAGUUAACACGUUAAACGCGCCGCCUGGGAAGUACGGCCGCAAGGUUA
This 372-nucleotide ribosomal RNA is filed under the name uncultured organism. RNAcentral's name for it is "bacterial SSU rRNA". It matches the Rfam family "Bacterial small subunit ribosomal RNA", at positions 526 to 896 of the family's 1533-position model. The record is from RNAcentral.